RNAcentral lists this long non-coding RNA (7125 nucleotides) under Triticum aestivum (bread wheat). Its description in RNAcentral is "long non-coding RNA (TAES_LNC025570)". The record is from RNAcentral. Lineage: Eukaryota; Viridiplantae; Streptophyta; Magnoliopsida; Poales; Poaceae.
CCGAUUUUGACCUGACAUCAAUUUCACUUCACUCGUCGUAAAUUUACAUGCAUAGUUAACCCAAUCCCUUUCUUUUUUACGUAGGUGCCAUAAUUGGCACGGUUAUGACUACAUAACUAUAUUCUCAGCUCAAACAUAGAGCACACAGCAAUCAAGCAAAGAAACGAACAAAAACAAAACAACUGCAUCCACAAGAAUCCAGUGCCGCGAGCAAGUAGCGGAGAAUGUAAGAGAACCAGGCUGAAGAAUGCUUCUAAUGUCAUGCCCUGGUGGAUCUGGGAUAUAAGAUCACCCCCUUCGAGCUGACAACAAUCAUGACUAUGUGACUGAAUACAAGUUAAGCAUUGUCCACUGUCGGUGCCUGUCAAGGAAGGGCAACAUUUAAGGACUACAAUAGUAAACUUCAUCAUGCUUUAGCCGGUUAGGAAUUAAGUACACAAAAAAGGAAAACACUGGCCCCAUUCUUGUCAUAUGCAAGUAGCCCCGUUCUUGUCAUAUGUUACACCCAAUGCAUGCAAACAAGCACUACCUCUGUCCCAUAAUAUAAUACGUUUAGGAGUACGUAGUAAUUUUAGACCUUUUUAGGCAUCUACAAUGCUGGCUCUUAGCCCAGGCGCUAGGAUGUUAUUCCUGGCCAUUUUGGCUCCAUCCUGUUCGAUCCUAGGAUUUAGGCAAGCGUCGCUGCCAAGCCAAUCGUCUGACUCUUGGUCCUCUAUUUUUUGCCAUAAGACUUUUUAACAAACGCUGCAUCUUCGCCAAGCGACUUCAAGGUAUCUUUGCCUACGGACAUACAACAUCUUCGCCAACAAGCACUCUAAGACUACGCUCAAGAGAAGCUCCUCAAGCUCAAGUCCGCGACUUCCACGAGCUACUACGACCUCGACAUCGACCAUAUGAUUCCUUUCUAUGGAACUCUAGAACCGAGGAGUAUCUCGAGUGCGAGCGCUUGAUGGACGACUACCUCAAGCUACAUCAAGUUCCUCCCGAAGAUCAAGUGAAGUGCGCCACAAGAAACUUUCACCACUACGCGUCAACAUGGUGGCUUCACACACCUUUGGAGAGCUACGACAUGAGUUGGUCCAAGACAAAGAAAGCUAUGCGGCGAGAGUUCGUGCCUCCAACCUACACGGAAUAACUUCUACGCCAAUUGGAGAACACCGCCCAAGGAUCCAAGUCCAUCGACACAUACUUCAAGGAGAUGAAGAAUGUCUUGCAACGAGCCGGCGUGGACGACCCCAUUUUAAUGAAGUUCCACUUCAUGAUGGGAUUGCGCAACGACAUCUCCAAGACUAUCUUCCUCGAGAACUACAAGUCCCUCGACGACUACUACAUUGGUGCUCUCAAGGCGGAACAAGAACUCAUGAAGGCCAAGGCUUCUCCACCCAAGCACACUUCUCGAAGACCAAGCUCCAAGACGGCGAGCAUGAGGAUAGUACCACCACGAUGUCCAAACCCGACAAGCUCCAAGACGACGCUCCCAAGUUUGACUUCACCGCCAUCCCACUUUAUGGCAUUGAUAAUGCCGAGUCUACUUCGACUCUUUCAAGAUGGUGCGGCGACGACUACGACUACGGAGGCAUUCAAGGACCAAGCUUUGGAGGCGAACGACAUGGUGACGAGCAAGGAUGAUACUUCCAUCUUUGGAGGCGAGUGAUGAUGUGCCAUCUUCGGCCUUUAUCCAUGGCGACAGCGACGAGAUGGUGGAGCAUGGGAUUUUCCCUUCGACCACGGCGACGUAUGAUGACUUGAGUGACUUUUGCCAUCAUAUUGAGAGUGAGAGUGACUUCACCACUAGCCUCAUAUAUGAUGUGUUGCCCCAAUUCCCAUGUGAGAGCCAUAACCCCCACCACUUGAGUAAGAUGAGUGACUCCUCCAUACGUGAGAUUGAGUGCACCUAUUUUGAGGAAGUGAGUGAACCACCACAUAGAGAGUGAGAUAGUUGAUAGGGCAUGUGAGGCCAUUUCGAUUUCUAAUGACUUAACCUCUACCACUAUUGUGUCUUUCAUUUGGUGCUAGGUCCCAUAUAUGAUGACGCGCCGAUUCGCGAUGACUGCGACAUGGUUCCAUAAAGAUGAUGACAUUGACCACCAUUUGAUCUUUCCCACCUCACCUACACCACUUGAGUGGAAUGAGUAAGGUAACAUAGGUGAAGGUGAUGCUCUGGUCUCACUAGUGGACAUUCUUGACAUUGAUUGCUUGCAUGAUGUUGAUCCACCUAUUACCAUGCUUCAUGCUAGUAUGACUUCCCCAUGCGAUGAUUUACCCAUUUAUGAUGAAUUUGAUGAUUGCCAUGUGGAGUCUAUUAGUUGCGAUGUCACGUUGCAUAGGAUUUCUUGGCAUAAUUCUUUAGGUCGCAUCGUGUUUGACAAUCCGCUUGACCUGUCAUAUGCUAUGUAUGAGAUCAACCAUAUGUCAUAUUUGUAAUUUCAUCAUAGUGACUAUGCAUAUGCCAUUAAAAAUAACUCAAUUUGCACUUAUAGCAUAGAUGACAAGGCUAUGGUUAUUGCCAUUUGUUUUUCUUCUAAUGAUAUUGAUAUGCUCCCUUUGCAUCAUUUAUCUCAUAUGUCAUGCCAUGACCACCUAGCUUCGGAUAUGCAUUGUUUUGAAUGUUGUCCAUUUUCUUCAUAUGAUGUUUUCGAUAUUGCUUAUGAGGAGACCCCCAUAGUUUUCUCAUACAUGUUAGGAGAUUUUGAUCACUCCCAUCCAUUGCAUGAUCCCAAUACUUGUGUGCACAAUAUGCUCCAUAUGAAUGAUGUGCCAUAUAUUUGCAUUCUCAAUUUGUGUCCCCAUCGUGUCAUACAUAAUAACUAUUUUUUCAUGAUGGAUGACAUGUUCUUAUAUCAUGCAUCAAAUUUCUUUAAGCGAUGCUUAUCUUAUGCUAACUCACACAUGCACAUACACAUCAUGAUGGAUGAUGUGUACAUUUACCACGCACACAAUUUCUUUGGUUUGUGUCUCUUUUGUGUAGGUACCCAUGAAUACUUGUCAAUCUCGCAAUCCCAGGAGUUAACAAAACAAGCUCUAAAAAACAAUGAUGACUUGAGAUCCCAUUGAUUGUCUUUCCCACCACUCUCUUCGCGCAAAGACUUCGCGCAUUUCUUCUACAUGGUCCUAUACCUUUGCCAUACAUUUGUGACCCAUACUUUACAUUACACAUGAUGAUUGAUUCUAGUACUUGUAUGUGUAUUUGCAAGCUUGGAGGAGAUAUCACUUGUUAUUGCCAUGUUUGCUUUGUACCCAUGCCUAUGAUGAUACUAUGACCUUACUUUGUGUUCGUGCUUGCGAUAUGUCAUGUGCAUUGCCUAUGCCUAUUAUUUGCUCACCUGACAUGAUUGCCAUGAUUUCCUCUAGUAUGUUGCAUCGUCGCACUACUAGCUUGCACGACUUGAUUAUUAUGAUUGCUUGCUUGUUGCAUCACCAAUGAUUCAUACUUGCUCCUUUCAUGCGGUUGAUGACAACCAUUACCAGGCUUUGCACAUGAUUCAUAUUGCUUCUUGUCAUAUAUCUUCAUAUGUUGCCUCUCUCAUGCUAGAUGAUUUGCCAUGUAUUGAGUGCAAUUAUGUCUUUAGUCUUGAUGUUGAGUUUGUCCCCAUAGCAUUCUCACAUAUAUUUGGAGAUUUUGACAUAUUUCUUGUGAAGCAUGCUUGCCUUCCCUCUUUGCACCAUAUUCCUAGUGCCAUGAAUAUAGCCAUUGUUGCAUCAUAUUAUUCAUGCACUUGUGCUUCUAAUGGUUGCGUGCAAAAGAUGAGAACCAUCAUGAUGGAUGAUGUGUUUAUCUACCAUGUGCAUACGUUCUUUGCUUUGUUUUGUGCAUGUGUAGGAUACUUGGACUUCGUGUCGACUUCCAUUUCACAUGAGUUAACCAUUCAAGCUCUUGAGAGUGAACCACCUUCUACCACGAAGAUUAUACAUCGCACUUGCUUGUGUUUUGGCAUUGUGAAGGACGCACAAGGACAUGCUUUCCAGGUGAUAGCAUUCUCUUUUGAGAACCUCCAAACCAUGAGCUUGGAUAUUAUGGAUCAUACUACUUGUGUUGCUUGCUUCAUUAAACUUUUUGGUCAUUUUGGACCACUUGAUUGCGCACAUGUUAGAGAUCUUGCUUGGAUUUGUCGUUUCCACAUUGACAUGCCUCAUGACAUAUAUACCUUGUGUGUUGCAUCCAAUUCUUGGACUACUUACUUCUAUCAUAUGCUUGGUUGCAACAAUGUCAUUUCUUCACAUACGACAUGUCCCAUUGCUUGCCACAUGAUUAACUUGAUUGCCUCACACAUGUUGAACAAUUCCAUUGUGUUGAGUGCCACACUAUAUUCGCUGCACCCUAUGCACGUUAUGCUUGGCUUGGCUUGCACUUGACUCAUGUGUUUAGACAUAUCAUCUUAUUUGGUGUUGUGAAUGAUUCUUAUGCCUACCAUAGACCUUUCAUUGAGCAAUUUGUUAAUGCUUGCUUUGAGCUUCAGGUAGAUGCUUAUACUCUUGUCACACAUAUUUGCAUCACUACCUCACAUUUACAUGCUUGUCCCAAUGAUACCUUUGCUUGUGCUCGAUUGAUAUACUUACAUGCCAUGUCACAAUCCUUUGUCAAACCAUAUGCUAUGCUCGAUGACGACACUUGUUUGAUGAAUAACCUCUUGAAUGCUGGGUUUUGCACUAAUGCUAACCACAUUUGUUUUUCCAAGUGUUUGUUGUCCUUACUCCUUUUGAAGGAAUCACAAGAUGGUGCGACAUUGGAGAGUGCCCAUUUCGAGCUUCAAGAAGACGAGUACUUGGUGAACGUCCACUUCUACACAGCGACGCCAUCUUCUUCCCAUGGUGAUUUGGUUUUCGAUCCGAGGUCGGAUCUUUCCCAAGGGGAAGGGGAUGAUGCAGAGCAUCCUACGGACAUCACCAUGUCAAGAGUCCGUUUGGCAAGUGACACGUGCGACAUCUACUUCACAUAUACAAAGGUGAAUCAUCUCCUUUACGCGUGUUCACUUAACCCCUUCGAGGAUGGUAUACCACUUGACACUCCACUCGUGUGCAUACAUAGGUACUGUCAAAACACCGCGGAUCACGAGGAGGAGUGUGAGCGCAAGCGUACAACUACACCAUCCACCAGGGAAGCAUGGAAGAGAAGGAAGAAGAGGAUCUGCCCAGUCCGGAACGGGCGGUACUACCGCCCACCCCAAGCAGUACUACCGCUAAGCCCAUCCAAGCGGUACUACCGCCCAACAUCCGCCCUACUUCCGCUUAACCCGACAAGCUCCUGUGAUCGAGCGGUACAAGUCCGGUACUACCGCUAAGCCGCUCAAGCGGUACUACCGCCCUGUGUGCGCACAGUGUAUCAGGCCUCCGGCCCAUGUAUCCUCUCCCACUUACCCCUUCGUGGCUAAGACUAUAUAUAGACCCCCUCUCCCUCCUAGUUAGGGUUAGCAAAUAUGAUAGCUCAUUUGUAUGUGAGCUUUGCUCCUACCUAUCUCUACUCUUGAGAGAGAGAGAGAGCACCACUCCCAUGGAGUUCAAGACCUCCAUGUGAGAAGAUCCUGCGGGAUAUAUUGUCAAGACCCCUCACAGGAAGAUCCGUCUAGGAUAUCACCAAGACCUCCUCAUGGAGAUGAACUUUACCUUGUAUCUUUCCUUUUGUUGUUCAUGUACCUUGUGGAUCUUGUGUGUUUGAUUGUCUAGUGGAUGUGCGAUUGGAAUUGUUCUUGAGUGUUUCCCCUUGUGGUUUCUCUCCGUUCUUCCCCGUGUUCUUCAUGUUCUUCAAGGGAAUCCACUCAAAUCGUGAAAGAUCGGCCUACACCGGGUUAGCCCCGUAUCACCACUCCAACUUGUUUGGGACUAAAGGCUUUGUUGUUGUUGUUGUUGUUGUUCGUUAUUGUUAUGGUUUAAUGGUUGCUUUUGUUCUUCAACGGUCAGAGUGCUGUUGGGUCUGUGGUAGGUUCGGUUUAUGUGUGUGUUUUUAUUGUCAUGCACUCCUUUUACAGAAAAGAAGAUUUGUCUGUGGUUUAUUUAGGUUGUUGUUUCUGUGUUUAGGUAGAUUAUUCAGCAAAUGCUUGGGGGUGGGUCCUGUGAUGUUGCUGUGAAGUGUCUGUUUUAUGGUGGUGGUGUUUUUAGAGGGCUUUUAUUACGUCUGGUUGAAGAUUCUAUGGCAUUAUCAUUUUGUCUUGCUGCAACUGCAGUCCACGUUGUAGCUAUGCUAGCUCUUAGGUAAAAAUCAUGGUUCGUGUUGCUUGGUAGGAGGUUCAAAUGGUUAUUUGAAGUCGUUUUGGUUGAUGUCUUGCUGAAGCAUGCAUAUGUUUGGUAUAUCCAGUUAUGUAUAUGUAUAGUUGUUUUAUGUCUGGCUCUGAGCGAGCCUUGCUGUUAGCUUCAGUGCUGCCAGCAUUGCUAAACAUGUACUUUACUUGUGCUGUCUCAUUGGUUAUCUUCGAUCAAGAAGAAAAGAUUGUAUGGCCUGGUAGUGAAAUUGAUGGGUCUAAGUUAACAUAGAUUUAUAGAUUUGUUUUUCUUAUGCAUUACUGUCAUUUGUAGCCAAACUGCUAUAUGUCAUUUUCAUGCGACUCUUUUCCUAAUUAGUCCAGUUUUAUUGGUAUGUGUAUUGAGAUUCAUUUAUUUUAUCCCCUUUGUGUUUUGUUUCUCUGUGCUUUAACAUGGUCGUCCAGGAAGGGCAAUUGUUCAGUUAUGCCGCCGGAGAUCAUGGCUCUGAUGGGAAGGAAAUAUGUCGUCGAAGUGACCGUGCCACGAUAUUCAUUUAGGAGAGAUAAGGAUGCCUUGACUUUCUAGGUUCGCAAGUUCUUCCCACUGGGUGGAUCUAUGUAUCACGAUUUCGUUGCAGGCAGCAGUUCUUCCUGUACCGGUGCUGCAGCGGAAUUGCCUGCUCAUCUUGGUAGGUAGCUCUAGGCGAUUCCUUUUGAAUUUGGUCCAUUUUGUGGUUCUAAAAUUGUUUGUUUUAUGAUAAUUGUGUGUAGAUGGAGUGGCUGCUGAAGCUUCUGGCGCUGCUAGCCAGCGCCAUGAGCUCCCUGAAGGUGUAUUUACGCCAGCAAAGGAUGUGUUGGUGACUUUCCCUUCAUUACCUUUUGAACUGUGUCCAUGCCAGAUUUCCAGUUCGUCUGAAGCUCAUCUGCUCUUAUACAUAUGUUGUUAUUACAG